UGGCUAAUGGGCCAAGAGAAUUACA
RNAcentral lists this non-coding RNA (25 nucleotides) under Arabidopsis thaliana (thale cress). The record is from RNAcentral. Lineage: Eukaryota; Viridiplantae; Streptophyta; Magnoliopsida; Brassicales; Brassicaceae.